GCCGGCGAUGGUCCGGACCGGGCCCCCCGGCCCUCAGGCAGCGGGGAGCCGGGGCGAGGAGCCCGCGGUUCGGUUUCCGCAUCAACAAAAUUGAAGCUGCUCAGGAGGAGCCGCCUCUAUUUGGUUUCCAUAAACUGCUGGAGUUCAACCUCCAUGAACAGUUCUGCAGUGGACUCGAAUGAGGCUGCAAAGCGAGAGAAAGCAGCAGAGCUGGGAACAGCAGACAGGUGUCCUGAGUCAUCUCCAGGCAGACACACCAGUACAACAGCAGCACGCAGGAGAUGGAGAUCUCAGUUGAAG
Neopelma chrysocephalum (saffron-crested tyrant-manakin) is the source of this 300-nucleotide long non-coding RNA. RefSeq lists it as uncharacterized. The record is from RefSeq and is a predicted model, not a curated record. The transcript has 3 exons. Lineage: Eukaryota; Metazoa; Chordata; Aves; Passeriformes; Pipridae.